AGGACGAACGCUGGCGGCGUGCUUAACACAUGCAAGUCGAGCGGUAAGGCCUUUCGGGGUACACGAGCGGCGAACGGGUGAGUAACACGUGGGUGAUCUGCCCUACACUCUGGGAUAAGCCUGGGAAACUGGGUCUAAUACCGGAUAUGACCUGCUCUCGCAGUGGGGGUGGGUGGAAAGUAUUUAUUGGUGCAGGAGUGGGCCCGCGGCCUAUCAGCUUGGUUGGUGGGUAAUGGCCUACCGAAGGCGACGACGGGUA
Molecule: ribosomal RNA, 259 nt
Filed under: uncultured soil bacterium
Lineage: Bacteria
Description: partial 16S ribosomal RNA
Rfam family: Bacterial small subunit ribosomal RNA
Source: RNAcentral